UUGAGUUGAGUUGAGU
RNAcentral lists this small RNA (16 nucleotides) under Arabidopsis thaliana (thale cress). Its description in RNAcentral is "ATSL308400". Lineage: Eukaryota; Viridiplantae; Streptophyta; Magnoliopsida; Brassicales; Brassicaceae. The record is from RNAcentral.